GGUGUGUUUCGCUACCAUUGCAUAUAUAUGUCUACGUAUACAUCUACAGAUUUGCCCUUUAACCCCGUUCGUGUUAUUGCCGCAUAUAGCUGCAGUAAUAGUAUUCGGGUACGUUCGGCCAUCGCGGUAUUCCGCCGAGAAAAAAAAAUAAACGGUUUGCGCGCGCGACAGUGUAUAUAUACGUCGUUAUGCAUAUUAUAGUAAUGCGAUCCAAAACGGAAACGUAUCUAUACAUAAUAUACGAAUGGGCAUUUAUUAUUGUCGGAUUCGACCGCGGGCACGUGGACCGGAAACGUCGUUUUCCAUCCUAGAAAUGUAUACGGGCUAAUCAAAAUUGUUAUCCGGCCACUGCGACAUUCGGACACCUCCGGACGGCCGGUCCGCCCGCAGUUCAAUGAAAGAGCGCCGAAAACCGCGGAUUUGCAUCGGCGCUCGUGGUAAUUGAUAUUUUUCCACCGGUGUUUUAUACACUAUACACAUUACUCGCCGGCUAUUAUAUUAUUAUACCUAUGCGCGCGCACAAUGCGGCGAGAUUACGGUAACCGAAACCGCGG
Cinara cedri is the source of this 554-nucleotide non-coding RNA. NCBI's taxonomy places the organism in Eukaryota, Metazoa, Arthropoda, Insecta, Hemiptera, Aphididae. The record is from the annotation of a GenBank genome assembly.